UGUGCCACCACACCUGGCUAAUAAUUUUUAGGUGUGCAAGUAGAUCUUAGGACCAAAAAGCUUGAGAAGUGCGCUGCUGGAGGAAAAGCCUCAGAAGCAAUCCCAGCAGCACAAAGCACACAAGAGGUGUCCAAACACGACUGGGCAGCUGGCUGAGGCACCUGUUUCCUAAGCUGAGUCUUAUAAAUAAAACCAGGCGAUAAAUAAGUAAAUACUUUAAACACAAGUUUAGAAACUCCAGGCAUGUGAGUUACAAAGCUAUGGAGUUAUAAACUCCUUUCAAAGCUAAUCAAAUGUCAAAGUUUCUAGAGAAGCUGAAAUUCAAGCAGAAUUCAUUCCUCACUGGCCCAGUAUGUGUGCAUGGAAUAUGCACUAGAGAGCCAUCACUGUACAGCACAGACCCUUUCUUGAGUGACUGCUACUGCCUGGCAUUGGACUAGGUGCUUUGAAUUACCUGUUUCAUUGACUGCUCACACCACCACCCAUACAGAUACUAUUACAUCCAUGUGUGACCUUUGGAAGCUUGGGGCUGGGGUUUAGCUCAGUGAUAGUAUGCUUGCCUACACCUUAAAAAGUCUAGAAUGAAACAUCCCACUGGUAGAGAUAGUUGGCAUGUGAUGAUUUGUUUCCAAUGGACAAAGAAUAUUUGAUUUCCCAUUUGUGCAUGUUUACUAUGUAACUCUGGUGUUUAGGCAAUAAAUCAACCUUCUAUAGCUGUUUAAUUAGAUACAGGUGACCUACUUUUCUCAUGAUGACUUCUUCAUGGAUCAAGCUUUUAAUAAACAUUGUUGUAUAGGCACAGACUUUUUCUAGAGGGAUUCAGAAGAAAUGGACCAGUGACUUCCAUUGGAGGGAACUGAGUGACUGAAGCUCAAGGUGACACUAUUCGUACCAUUUAUAGGUUCUUGCUGAGUCACUAAGCUGCCUAGUCUUGGCUUGGACUUGCAGUCUUCCUGCCUCAGCCUCCAGGAGUACCAGGAUUACAGUUGUGCUUCACUGUGCCCAGCACAAAGCAUCUAAGUAAUAAACUUGGCAACUCUGAGGGGCAGGGAAGAUUUUAGAUGUGAUCCUGGAGCUAAAUCAAGAAUGAAGUUAGACCUAGAGUCUAAGCCUUGGACACCAGUGGGGACCAGGCAGCUGAAGGAAACAAGAGAAGGAGUCAAGCCCUCAGCCCUACUGCCUGAUGCAAUGCAGGAGCCAGGUGAUUCUGUGUGGAGUCUCACACAUCUUCAGUGUUGGAAAUUAGUAAAAGUCAUAAAAAAAUAUUAAAAUCACCUGAGUCAAAUGUCAUCUAGGGGUUGGUACUUCUGUGAGUUAGCUCCAGAAUUUUAGUUACCUAGAACAGGGGAGGACCAGGCAGCACCAGAAUCUAGUGAGGCCUGAGUAUGUCAGUUCAUGUUGUAACUAGGAACUCCAUGUGCCAACUCCUGUCAUGACUGGCUGAAUGGGGCAGACUUCUGCUUUAGGGGCAAGAGCCAGGCUCUUCUCUUCCCCUAGAAUGAGAGCUCAGGCAGAGGCAGGCCUGUCCUAACCCUACCAAUGG
Molecule: long non-coding RNA, 1543 nt
Organism: Chinchilla lanigera (long-tailed chinchilla)
Lineage: Eukaryota; Metazoa; Chordata; Mammalia; Rodentia; Chinchillidae
Exons: 3
Source: RefSeq, a predicted model, not a curated record